CGGGUGCACUGAUCCAGCCGGGCCUUUCCCUCUGUGGAACCCCAUGGCCUUCACUGGCUGUGGUGGGGAAACAGGACUUUUACUUUGAAAAAAUUAGAGUGCUCCAGGCAGGCCUAUGCUCGAAUACAUUAGCAUGGAAUAAUAGAAUAGGACGUGUGGUUCUAUUUUGUUGGUUUCUAGGACCGCCGUAAUGAUUAAUAGGGACAGUCGGGGGCAUCAGUAUUCAAUUGUCAGAGGUGAAAUUCUUGGAUCUAUUGAAGACUAACUACUGCGAAAGCAUUUGCCAAGGAUGUUUUCAUUGAUAAGGAACGAAAGUUAGGGGAUCGAAGACGAUCAGAUACCGUCGUAGUCUUAACUAUAAACUAUGCCGACUAGGGAUCGGACGAUGUUAUUCUUUGACGCGUUCGGCACCUUUCGGGAAAUCAAAGUGCUUGGGCUCCAGGGGGAGUAUGGUCGCAAGGCUGAAACUUAAAGAAAUUGACGGAAGGGCACCACCAGGGGUGGAACCUGCGGCUUAAUUUGACUCAACACGGGGAAACCCACCAGGUCCAGACACAGUGAGGAUUGACAGAUUGAGAGCUCUUUCUUGAUUCUGUGGGUGGUGGUGCAUGGCCGUUCUUAGUUGGUGGAGUGAUUUGUCUGCUUAAUUGCGAUAACGAACGAGACCUUAACCUGCUAAAUAGCCCGUACUGCUUUGGCAGUUCGCCGGCUUCUUAGAGGGACUAUCGG
RNAcentral lists this ribosomal RNA (729 nucleotides) under uncultured eukaryote. Its description in RNAcentral is "SSU rRNA". It matches the Rfam family "Eukaryotic small subunit ribosomal RNA", at positions 670 to 1426 of the family's 1831-position model. The record is from RNAcentral.